CGUUGGUAGAAUGCAUUUCUGUGUGUUUUAGCCCUCCGAGUUUGUGUUUGUUCCCACAAAUGGUACAGUCACGUUGGGUCGGGCUGAGUUCCCCUAUGCUUCCUUAGGGGCUGGAUAACGAGAUCGAGUGUAAUUAGCAGAAAUAGAGGCAAAGAGAAGCAGGCACAUCCCAGUGUGUGAGAAGGAUUUAUGGGACUACGGGCAUUUUGGGCUGCAGGAUGGGGAGGGAGGAAGGGUCAGCAAGUGAGAAACUGGGGGAGAUUGGAUGUUUUGGCCCCUCCUGGGGUUGUGUGGUGGCAGUGAGCUGAAGGGACCUGGGGAGAGCACUGGGGGCUGCGGAGAUCUUCUGAGAUCUUCCAUGCCCAGAACAAGUACCCUGGAGGUGUUCUCCCUUUGGAACUGGACCUUUGCAAAGGGUUUCUUUGGAUCAUCCUUAUUUUUUUCUUCCAACAGAAGCCCCUUCUGCCCUCCCCCUCCCUCUUUCCAUGUUUUGGAUGUGAACCCCAUAUCCCCACAGCAUGGAUGGCAAACGUGGGAAUGCCACACUUGGGAGGAGGUCCCUUCACUCUGUCUUUCUCUCUCUUCUUCUCCACUUGGAUUUUUCCCUGGAUGUGGGGCUGGGGUGCAGCCACAGCCCCAUCCCUAUGUGGGUGCCAGUGGUGGGGCAUCCAUCACCAACGCCACUUCUCCCCCUUGCUGGAGCAAUGACAGCAGCACCCAAUUAUUGAAGCAAUUGCUAAAAAUGCACCAAACCAGCCUCCUCAUUUCGCUCAGGACUCUGCAGCUGUAGAGUCUGCAGGUGCUAGCUUGGACCACUUGUCCAUAGGAAGAAGGUCACGAUGGGGACAUGCCGCCAGCAGCAUGGUGGCCUCAUGUCCUUUUGGAAGCAUCUUCCAUGCGGACCUACAGUGCAUCAUCCACUUCUCUUUUGGGGGAGAAAAGCAGCAUUUAGGAUUAACUACAUUUGAGGCAAAGGGGAUGAUGGAGAAAUGAGGUCAACGGCCGCCCCGAGCACAGCGGCACCUCCCAAAUCCCCCUAAGCCCCAUCAGAUCACACAGGAUUUACCCUUCAUGGGCAUCAGGGGCUGAUGGAAUGGGGGAGACCCCCCCAAAGCUUCCCCAUAGCCUGUGACCCCCAGCCUGGUUCGGUUGGAGUGGUCACCAUGCCGGUGGCCCUGUGUCACUGCUGGGUAGCCAGGAUGGGUCCCCCAUGCCCGGUGUUGGAGCGUAGUGAAGGGAGUUGUUUUGUUUUAUUUCUCUCCUCUCUUUGUCUCUGUCUCUCCUCCUCUCUCUCUUUCUUUCUCUCUUGCAUUUUUGUGAAUCUAAUGAUGCACUUAUAUUGCCCCGCUUUUCCCUUCUCUUCAUACCUUACCUACUAAAGGAGGAAAUGCCACUUUUUUGAGGCCGGCCUCGCCGUCCCCUUCUCCACGGCCUCG
This 1436-nucleotide long non-coding RNA is filed under the name Gallus gallus (chicken). Its description in RNAcentral is "long non-coding RNA NONGGAT003445". Lineage: Eukaryota; Metazoa; Chordata; Aves; Galliformes; Phasianidae. The record is from RNAcentral.